RNAcentral lists this ribosomal RNA (253 nucleotides) under uncultured bacterium. RNAcentral's name for it is "partial 16S ribosomal RNA". It matches the Rfam family "Bacterial small subunit ribosomal RNA", at positions 524 to 776 of the family's 1533-position model. The record is from RNAcentral.
CACGUAGGGCGCAAGCGUUGUCCGGAAUUAUUGGGCGUAAAGAGCUCGUAGGCGGUCUGUUGCGUCCGCUGUGAAAACUCGGGGCUUAACCCCGAGCCUGCAGUGGAUACGGGCAGACUAGAGGUAGGUAGGGGAGAAUGGAAUUCCCGGUGUAGCGGUGAAAUGCGCAGAUAUCGGGAGGAACACCAAUGGCGAAGGCAGAUCUCUGGGCCGUAACUGACGCUGAGGAGCGAAAGCGUGGGGAGCGAACAGG